AACGAACGCUGGCGGCAUGCCUAACACAUGCAAGUCGAACGAGACCUUCGGGUUUAGUGGCGCACGGGUGCGUAACGCGUGGGAACCUGCCCUUAGGUUCGGCAUAACUCCCCGAAAGGGGUGCUAAUACCGGAUAAUGUCUUCGGACCAAAGAUUUAUCGCCUUUGGAUGGGCCCGCGUUGGAUUAGCUAGUUGGUAGGGUAAAAGCCUACCAAGGCGACGAUCCAUAGCUGGUCUGAGAGGAUGAUCAGCCACACUGGGACUGAGACACGGCCCAGACUCCUACGGGAGGCAGCAGUGGGGAAUAUUGGACAAUGGGCGAAAGCCUGAUGCAGCAAUGCCGCGUGAGUGAUGAAGGCCUUAGGGUUGUAAAGCUCGUUUACCCGGGAUGAUAAUGACAGUACCGGGAGAAUAAGCACCGGCUAACUCCGUG
RNAcentral lists this ribosomal RNA (433 nucleotides) under uncultured bacterium. RNAcentral's name for it is "partial 16S ribosomal RNA". It matches the Rfam family "Bacterial small subunit ribosomal RNA", at positions 29 to 507 of the family's 1533-position model. The record is from RNAcentral.